This 164-nucleotide ribosomal RNA is filed under the name Camellia debaoensis. RNAcentral describes it as "5.8S ribosomal RNA". It matches the Rfam family "5.8S ribosomal RNA". Rfam says of the family: 5.8S ribosomal RNA (5.8S rRNA) is a component of the large subunit of the eukaryotic ribosome. The record is from RNAcentral. Lineage: Eukaryota; Viridiplantae; Streptophyta; Magnoliopsida; Ericales; Theaceae.
UAAACGACUCUCGGCAACGGAUAUCUCGGCUCUCGCAUCGAUGAAGAACGUAGCGAAAUGCGAUACUUGGUGUGAAUUGAAGAAUCCCGCGAACCAUCGAGUCUUUGAACACAAGUUGCGCCCGAAGCCACUAGGUUGAGGGCACGUCUGCCUGGGCGUCUCAC